Molecule: ribosomal RNA, 491 nt
Filed under: uncultured bacterium
Lineage: Bacteria
Description: partial 16S ribosomal RNA
Rfam family: Bacterial small subunit ribosomal RNA
Source: RNAcentral
GAUGAACGCUGGCUACAGGCUUAACACAUGCAAGUCGAGGGGAAACGACGGGGAAGCUUGCUUCCCCGGGCGUCGACCGGCGCACGGGUGAGUAACGCGUAUCCAACCUGCCUCUGACUGAGGGAUAACCCGUCGAAAGUCGGCCUAAUACCUCAUGGCAUCGUCUGCGGGCAUCCAACGACGAUUAAAGAUUUCAUCGGUCAGAGAUGGGGAUGCGUCUGAUUAGCUUGUUGGCGGGGUAACGGCCCACCAAGGCGACGAUCAGUAGGGGUUCUGAGAGGAAGGUCCCCCACAUUGGAAAUGAGACACGGUCCAAACUCCUACGGGAGGCAGCAGUGAGGAAUAUUGGUCAAUGGGCGAGAGCCUGAACCAGCCAAGUAGCGUGCAGGAUGACGGCCCUAUGGGUUGUAAACUGCUUUUAUGCGGGGAUAAAGUGAGGGACGUGUCCUUCAUUGCAGGUACCGCAUGAAUAAGGACCGGCUAAUUCCGUG